GACGAACGCUGGCGGCGUGCUUAACACAUGCAAGUCGAACGGAAAGGCCCUGCUUUUGUGGGGUGCUCGAGUGGCGAACGGGUGAGUAACACGAGAGUAACCUGCCCUGGACUUUGGGAUAACUUCAGGAAACUGGGGCUAAUAUCGGAUAGGAGCUCCUGCUGCAUGGUGGGGGUUGGAAAGUUUCGGCGGUUGGGGAUGGACUCGCGGCUUAUCAGCUUGUUGGUGGGGCAGUGGCGUACCAAGGCUUUGACGGGUAGCCGGCCUGAGAGGGUGACCGGCCACAUUGGGACUGAGAUACGGCCCAGACGCCUACGGGAGGCAGCAGUGGGGAAUAUUGCACAAUGGGCGGAAGCCUGAUGCAGCGACGCCGCGUGCGGGAUGACGGCCUUCGGGUUGUAAACCGCUUUCGCCUGUGACGAAGCGUGGGUGACGGUAAUGGGUAAAGAAGCACCGGCUAACUACGUG
RNAcentral lists this ribosomal RNA (468 nucleotides) under uncultured bacterium. RNAcentral describes it as "partial 16S ribosomal RNA". It matches the Rfam family "Bacterial small subunit ribosomal RNA", at positions 28 to 507 of the family's 1533-position model. The record is from RNAcentral.